CCAUGCCUACAGUCCCAUCGAGGCGCCCGUCCCUCUCAGUGCUCCUUGCUGGGACCCUGAGGAGGGGGGACAGCCACUGACUGCCCUCAGCAGCCCCCCAGGCACCUCUCGAUGAGCUGGCCGAGGAUUGAAGUGAUGUGGAGAGCCCUGUGUGCCCUGGUGGUACGGGGGAUGUAAUCAGGAGGCAAGGAGAAGCAAAGGAGGAGAGUAUUGCCUCAUCUUCUGCUCACAACAAGCCCAGGCCACCUGGCAUGGGAGGGGUAUGGGCAUAGCAGAGAGCGUGUGAAUCACCCUGGACGUGCAGCUCAGUGCAGAGAUCUCUGGAGUAAUCACCCCACCUUUCCAUCCUGAGCUGCAGAACUCAACAUGUAUAAGUCAGUAUUCGCUAAGAUACCAUCCCAGCAUGGAAAGAUUCUCAGCUGCAUCUUGGCUUUGGGACAAACCGGCUCACAAAGGGACCAGUGGAAGUCACUGUUUAUGCGAAUUUCAGGUGAGCUUUAGAUGGGUCAGAUCCCAGAGUUCCUGUGCCCAUCUUUAGCAGGAAAUCACCCACUCUCCAAUAAAAGCUUAAGACUUCUUUUUUUUUUUUGGCACAUGACAAGCAGAGGAUUCGCUGUGCUUUACACAACCACCCUACUUCCUUUCACUUUAAACUGUAAAACGAGCCCACGGCUUCGCAGGUGCUGGAGGCGAGGUGCAGGUCCUCCCUCAGCAGAGCCGGGCUGCCGGGGGCUGGGCGCCAGAUCCGCGCCCGCCUCAGGGGCAGUUACUGACGGUAACGGCCAGUGCUGACAUUACAUAACCCUCAGUUUUGGGAUGGCACGUUAUCACACCCGCGGCUGAAUCCUCGACCGAGGUGUGAAGAGCCAAUAUUCAUGGCAGCGGGCCAUUGUUGGUGCGCGAUGGCGCACAGAGAUGGAAUUCUGCCCACACAUCAGCGCUCA
Molecule: long non-coding RNA, 944 nt
Organism: Manacus vitellinus (golden-collared manakin)
Lineage: Eukaryota; Metazoa; Chordata; Aves; Passeriformes; Pipridae
Exons: 4
Source: RefSeq, a predicted model, not a curated record